UUAAGCGACUAAGCGUACACGGUGGAUGCCCUGGCAGUCAGAGGCGAUGAAGGACGUGCUAAUCUGCGAUAAGCGUCGGUAAGGUGAUAUGAACCGUUAUAACCGGCGAUUUCCGAAUGGGGAAACCCAGUGUGUUUCGACACACUAUCAUUAACUGAAUCCAUAGGUUAAUGAGGCGAACCGGGGGAACUGAAACAUCUAAGUACCCCGAGGAAAAGAAAUCAACCGAGAUUCCCCCAGUAGCGGCGAGCGAACGGGGAGCAGCCCAGAGCCUGAAUCAGUGUGUGUGUUAGUGGAAGCGUCUGGAAAGGCGCGCGAUACAGGGUGACAGCCCCGUACACAAAAAUGCACAUGCUGUGAGCUCGAUGAGUAGGGCGGGACACGUGGUAUCCUGUCUGAAUAUGGGGGGACCAUCCUCCAAGGCUAAAUACUCCUGACUGACCGAUAGUGAACCAGUACCGUGAGGGAAAGGCGAAAAGAACCCCGGCGAGGGGAGUGAAAAAGAACCUGAAACCGUGUACGUACAAGCAGUGGGAGCACGCUUCGGCGUGUGACUGCGUACCUUUUGUAUAAUGGGUCAGCGACUUAUAUUCUGUAGCAAGGUUAACCGAAUAGGGGAGCCGAAGGGAAACCGAGUCUUAACUGGGCGUUAAGUUGCAGGGUAUAGACCCGAAACCCGGUGAUCUAGCCAUGGGCAGGUUGAAGGUUGGGUAACACUAACUGGAGGACCGAACCGACUAAUGUUGAAAAAUUAGCGGAUGACUUGUGGCUGGGGGUGAAAGGCCAAUCAAACCGGGAGAUAGCUGGUUCUCCCCGAAAGCUAUUUAGGUAGCGCCUCGUGAAUUCAUCUCCGGGGGUAGAGCACUGUUUCGGCAAGGGGGUCAUCCCGACUUACCAACCCGAUGCAAACUGCGAAUACCGGAGAAUGUUAUCACGGGAGACACACGGCGGGUGCUAACGUCCGUCGUGAAGAGGGAAACAACCCAGACCGCCAGCUAAGGUCCCAAAGUCAUGGUUAAGUGGGAAACGAUGUGGGAAGGCCCAGACAGCCAGGAUGUUGGCUUAGAAGCAGCCAUCAUUUAAAGAAAGCGUAAUAGCUCACUGGUCGAGUCGGCCUGCGCGGAAGAUGUAACGGGGCUAAACCAUGCACCGAAGCUGCGGCAGCGACGCUGAUGCGUUGUUGGGUAGGGGAGCGUUCUGUAAGCCUGCGAAGGUGUGCUGUGAGGCAUGCUGGAGGUAUCAGAAGUGCGAAUGCUGACAUAAGUAACGAUAAAGCGGGUGAAAAGCCCGCUCGCCGGAAGACCAAGGGUUCCUGUCCAACGUUAAUCGGGGCAGGGUGAGUCGACCCCUAAGGCGAGGCCGAAAGGCGUAGUCGAUGGGAAACAGGUUAAUAUUCCUGUACUUGGUGUUACUGCGAAGGGGGGACGGAGAAGGCUAUGUUGGCCGGGCGACGGUUGCCCCGGUUUAAGCGUGUAGGCUGGUUUUCCAGGCAAAUCCGGAAAAUCAAGGCUGAGGCGUGAUGACGAGGCACUACGGUGCUGAAGCAACAAAUGCCCUGCUUCCAGGAAAAGCCUCUAAGCAUCAGGUAACAUCAAAUCGUACCCCAAACCGACACAGGUGGUCAGGUAGAGAAUACCAAGGCGCUUGAGAGAACUCGGGUGAAGGAACUAGGCAAAAUGGUGCCGUAACUUCGGGAGAAGGCACGCUGAUAUGUAGGUGAGGUCCCUCGCGGAUGGAGCUGAAAUCAGUCGAAGAUACCAGCUGGCUGCAACUGUUUAUUAAAAACACAGCACUGUGCAAACACGAAAGUGGACGUAUACGGUGUGACGCCUGCCCGGUGCCGGAAGGUUAAUUGAUGGGGUUAGCGCAAGCGAAGCUCUUGAUCGAAGCCCCGGUAAACGGCGGCCGUAACUAUAACGGUCCUAAGGUAGCGAAAUUCCUUGUCGGGUAAGUUCCGACCUGCACGAAUGGCGUAAUGAUGGCCAGGCUGUCUCCACCCGAGACUCAGUGAAAUUGAACUCGCUGUGAAGAUGCAGUGUACCCGCGGCAAGACGGAAAGACCCCGUGAACCUUUACUAUAGCUUGACACUGAACAUUGAGCCUUGAUGUGUAGGAUAGGUGGGAGGCUUUGAAGUGUGGACGCCAGUCUGCAUGGAGCCGACCUUGAAAUACCACCCUUUAAUGUUUGAUGUUCUAACGUUGACCCGUAAUCCGGGUUGCGGACAGUGUCUGGUGGGUAGUUUGACUGGGGCGGUCUCCUCCUAAAGAGUAACGGAGGAGCACGAAGGUUGGCUAAUCCUGGUCGGACAUCAGGAGGUUAGUGCAAUGGCAUAAGCCAGCUUGACUGCGAGCGUGACGGCGCGAGCAGGUGCGAAAGCAGGUCAUAGUGAUCCGGUGGUUCUGAAUGGAAGGGCCAUCGCUCAACGGAUAAAAGGUACUCCGGGGAUAACAGGCUGAUACCGCCCAAGAGUUCAUAUCGACGGCGGUGUUUGGCACCUCGAUGUCGGCUCAUCACAUCCUGGGGCUGAAGUAGGUCCCAAGGGUAUGGCUGUUCGCCAUUUAAAGUGGUACGCGAGCUGGGUUUAGAACGUCGUGAGACAGUUCGGUCCCUAUCUGCCGUGGGCGCUGGAGAACUGAGGGGGGCUGCUCCUAGUACGAGAGGACCGGAGUGGACGCAUCACUGGUGUUCGGGUUGUCAUGCCAAUGGCACUGCCCGGUAGCUAAAUGCGGAAGAGAUAAGUGCUGAAAGCAUCUAAGCACGAAACUUGCCCCGAGAUGAGUUCUCCCUGACCCUUUAAGGGUCCUGAAGGAACGUUGAAGACGACGACGUUGAUAGGCCGGGUGUGUAAGCGCAGCGAUGCGUUGAGCUAACCGGUACUAAUGAACCGUGAGGCUUAACCUU
Molecule: ribosomal RNA, 2902 nt
Filed under: Escherichia coli
Lineage: Bacteria; Pseudomonadati; Pseudomonadota; Gammaproteobacteria; Enterobacterales; Enterobacteriaceae
Description: bacterial LSU rRNA
Rfam family: Bacterial large subunit ribosomal RNA
Source: RNAcentral